CUGGUCAUUUAUAACUUUUCCCACAGUAUUGACAUGUGUGAACUGUAUUGCCAUGUUUCCCUGCUUUGUGAUUCGCUAGGUCUUUAGAAGUUGCAAAUUCCUGAUUACACAAAUCACACUGAUACUUUUUGUUGUUUUCUUGGUGCAUAUUGUUUCAAAUUAUGUUUGUAAAAAAAUACUUUCUUAAAUUUAAAGGGCUUGUUGUUUAGGUGCUUGUUGACUUGGCCAUCAAAGAGUUGUUUUUUUACGAGGGCAAUUUUUUUUCGGUUCGUAUAUUGCUAUGAUAUCGUCAUCGUCUGCGUCGUCCGAAGACACAUUUGGUUUCCAGGCAACUACAAUUUAAGUGAAUGGAUCUAUAUAAAUUUUAAAUAAGGUUCAAUACCACAAAAUGAAGGUUGGGAUUAUUUUGGGAAGUGAUGGUUCCAACUUUUUACGAAAAAGGGGCAUAAAAGAAGCAUUCUUUUUAGUUUCAGGAUAAUUUCUUGUGUAUAAGAAUUUCGAUUGCUCUGAAAUUGUAAUACAGCGUUCAAUACCACAAGUAGAAGGCUAGGAUUCAUUUUGGGGGUUAUGGUACUAACAGUUUAGGAAUGAAGGAACAAAAAAAGGGACAAAAAA
This 615-nucleotide long non-coding RNA is filed under the name Mytilus galloprovincialis (Mediterranean mussel). Lineage: Eukaryota; Metazoa; Mollusca; Bivalvia; Mytilida; Mytilidae. The record is from RNAcentral.